AGUUUAACUCUGUUCACCUUGCAGAUUUUGUAAAAGCAUAGAUUAACAUUUACUGGAGAGUUUAUGCUUCUGCAUUCCAUUAAGUUGGAGGCAAGGAGAGUAUCAAGCAGCCCAAAAUAAUUAAGCCAGGAAGAUGUCACAUUAGUAAAAUCAGAAUAGCAUCCAAACAUGAACAGAAGACUGGAGAAGAUCGACAACAAUCAUGUGAGCCAAAUCCCAAUGACUGAAAACUUGAAAUUUACAUCAUGUUACCAUGAUAACAUUGAGUACCUUACAGAUGAUAAACUACAUUAUGAAUCUAAAGGCAUAUAGGUUUGACACAAAAGAUAAAUGCCCAAUGCUCUGAUAUAAGAAGAAUGUGUGGUCAUAUAUACAUAACAAUAAUUGCAAAACUACCUCUGGCUAGUGCUCUAACAAUUUCCAGAUUAAGAGUGGUUACCUGAAAUUAAAAGUAAACAGAAUGAUAAGAACAGAGACAAUUCUCAUUCUGAAAUUAAUUUGUAUAUAAACAGUUUAUUAAUAUUAAAAAUAGAUGUUCUCAUAAUAACCAAGGAUUAUGAAAAAUUCAGACCAAACAUAUAUAAGUAAAAAUAAAAAUAAAAACAAUUAAAUUAUCAAAACACUCCAGUGAUACCACUUGGCCAAUUUCUUCUAAUAUAUAAAAUAUGGCACUGAUGGAGACCCAAUCUUUCUUUCUUACAUUGUGGUAUGCGAGACUACACCAACCAAUCAUCCCUUCAGUGAUAUCUAACUUGAUUAAUCUCCUCAAUUCAUAAGAAAUAUAUCUACUGCUUACAAUCUAAACUUUGAUAAUUAUGGUAGACCCUAAAAAUAUAUUCAUCAUAAACCAUAUUCUAGAUUAUGUCAGACAUCAUGCCACCAAUCAAAUUCUCCCUUUUUAAAAUAGAAACUGUCAUCUCCACAUGUUAGAUUCAGAAUGCUUCUUUCUCAGGAUUGGUAAAUUUUGAGGGCCAGAGCUUCAAUUUUUAACAAAAUGUUCAAUGAUUUAUGCAAUAAUAGUACAAUUCUACAAUUUUGACAUCCGUUGUAACAUUAAUGGCAAAUCACUUCAUAAAUCAUUAUGGUUACAGAUUAGAACUUAUAAGAUCCCCCAAAAAUAACUAGAAAGAGCUUAUCAUCUACAUUUAGACUAAAUUGGAAGCAAAGAAUUUCGAGUUUUCACUGUCAAAUAUAGGACUGGGUUUUUUAUUAUCUACUUGGAUAGACAAGAAGUUAUUUAGCAGGUGCUAGGUACAUUGAUAUAACACUGUAAAUGUCAUACUUGUCUUGACAACCUCAACAAUUACAACUGCGGAUAUCUUGCCAUCAAUUACUUACAGAUAUUCGGGUAGCAACAAAGCCUCCUUUGACAAGAGGUUUAUUCAACGGCCCCUUGUGAACACCAGAUUUGCUAGCUUGGAAGUGCCCAAAAGAACCUGAGAUAAUCACCGGUUUGAAGACAAAAUAUAGUUGGAGAUAAUCACCGGUUUGAAGACAAAAUAUAGUUGGAAGACCGAUGUAAUGUUAGUAUAUGCGAUAUCAAAAUAUUAAAAAAAAAACAUUAAUUUUCCUAACAUUUCUAGUGUUUAAUUUUCAUGCGCUAUCAACAUGCCAUCAACCAAUUGAAAAUCAUCCCCAAGUAUGAC
This 1646-nucleotide long non-coding RNA is filed under the name Vigna radiata. RNAcentral describes it as "long non-coding RNA (VRAD_LNC011411)". Lineage: Eukaryota; Viridiplantae; Streptophyta; Magnoliopsida; Fabales; Fabaceae. The record is from RNAcentral.